Non-coding RNA from Populus trichocarpa (black cottonwood), 108 nucleotides. The record is from Rfam. Lineage: Eukaryota; Viridiplantae; Streptophyta; Magnoliopsida; Malpighiales; Salicaceae.
UAGUCUAUUUAGGACAAAUCCUCAUCUAGCUAUAGAAGAUCCCCAACUAACUGUUUAUAAACUUCAGUUUUGGAUAAUCCAGUUGUAUUAUUCUUCCCAUAUUAGAGA